RNAcentral lists this transfer RNA (68 nucleotides) under Eolagurus luteus (Yellow steppe lemming). RNAcentral's name for it is "tRNA-His". It matches the Rfam family "tRNA". From Rfam's summary of the family: Transfer RNA (tRNA) molecules are approximately 80 nucleotides in length. The record is from RNAcentral. Lineage: Eukaryota; Metazoa; Chordata; Mammalia; Rodentia; Cricetidae.
GUUAAUAUAGUUUAAAUAAAAUACCAGACUGUGAAUCUGGAGACAGGACAUAAAACUCCUUAUUUACC